CCACGGUGUGGUUCAUGACUGGGGUGAAGUCGUAACAAGGUAGCCGUAGGGGAACCUGCGGCUGGAUCGCCUCCUU
This 76-nucleotide ribosomal RNA is filed under the name Alloalcanivorax venustensis. RNAcentral's name for it is "Alcanivorax venustensis partial 16S ribosomal RNA". It matches the Rfam family "Bacterial small subunit ribosomal RNA", at positions 1457 to 1532 of the family's 1533-position model. Lineage: Bacteria; Pseudomonadati; Pseudomonadota; Gammaproteobacteria; Oceanospirillales; Alcanivoracaceae. The record is from RNAcentral.